This 737-nucleotide ribosomal RNA is filed under the name uncultured organism. Its description in RNAcentral is "bacterial SSU rRNA". It matches the Rfam family "Bacterial small subunit ribosomal RNA", at positions 13 to 768 of the family's 1533-position model. The record is from RNAcentral.
UUGAUCCUGGCUCACGAUGAACGCUGGCGGCGUGCUUAACACAUGCAAGUCGAACGGGAACCUCUGGAUUCGUCUGGAGGGGAGAGUGGCGAACGGGUGAGUAACACGUAGGUGACCUGCCUCGAAGACGGGGAUAGCUGCUGGAAACGGUAGCUAAUACCCGAUGGUCUCGAUAAUUCGGUUUGUCGAGUAAAGGCUCCGGCGCUUUGAGAGGGACCUGCGGCCCAUCAGCUAGUUGGUAGGGUAACGGCCUACCAAGGCGAAGACGGGUAGGGGGCGUGAGAGCGUGACCCCCCACACUGGCACUGGGACACGGGCCAGACUCCUACGGGAGGCAGCAGUGAGGAAUAUUGCGCAAUGAGCGAAAGCUAGACGCAGCAACGCCGCGUGGGUGAUGAAGGCCUUCGGGUCGUAAAACCCUUUUCUGGGGGAAGAGUAAGGACGGUACCCCAGGAAUAAGCCUCGGCUAACUAUGUGCCAGCAGCCGCGGUAAUACAUAGGAGGCAAGCGUUAUCCGGAUUUACUGGGCGUAAAGAGCGUUGAGGCGGCUUCGUAAGUUGGACGUGAAAGCUCCCGGCUUAACUGGGAGAGGCCGUUCAAUACUGCGGGGCUUGAGGACAGCAGAGGGGGGUGGAAUUUCCGGUGUAGUGGUGAAAUGCGUAGAUAUCGGAAGGAACACCAGUGGCGAAGGCGGCCCCCUGGGCUGCUCCUGACGCUGAAGGCGAAAGCUUAAGGNG